AAGUCGUAACAAGGUUUCCGUAGGUGAACCUGCGGAAGGAUCAUUACAAAAUAAAAGCUGGUAGGAAGUGGGGGUCUUGAUCUGUAAGGUGGUAGAGCGAAACAUCCCGGCUGCCUCCCGAAAUGUCUUACAUGUCCCCCACAGCCUGAGGCCGAAUUACACCCUGAUUAUCUACACUUGUUGCUUUGGGGUGCUCAAGUGCCCCAGAGGACCCAACUCUCUUGCAUUUAGUGACGUCUGAGUACUAUAUAAUAUUUAAAA
This 261-nucleotide unclassified non-coding RNA is filed under the name plant metagenome. RNAcentral describes it as "partial contains small subunit ribosomal RNA and internal transcribed spacer 1". The stretch from base 1 to 46 matches the Rfam family "Eukaryotic small subunit ribosomal RNA", at positions 1786 to 1831 of the family's 1831-position model. The record is from RNAcentral.